Molecule: ribosomal RNA, 301 nt
Filed under: uncultured bacterium
Lineage: Bacteria
Description: partial 16S ribosomal RNA
Rfam family: Bacterial small subunit ribosomal RNA
Source: RNAcentral
CAGUAGCCGCGGGAAUACAGAGGUCUCAAGCGUUGUUCGGAUUCAUUGGGCGUAAAGGGUGCGUAGGUGGCGGUGUAAGUCUAACGUGAAAUCUCGGGGCUCAACCUCGAAAUUGCGUCGGAUACUGCAUUGCUAGAGGAUUGUAGAGGAGAGUGGAAUUCAUGGUGUAGCAGUGAAAUGCGUAGAUAUCAUGAGGAAGACCAGUUGCGAAGGCGACUCUCUGGGCAAUUCCUGACACUGAGGCACGAAGGCUAGGGGAGCAAACGGGAUUAGAUACCCGGGUAGUCCCUGUCUCUUAUAC